GGUGUUAGCUCAUCCAAGGCGGCCUCCUCGGACUUGACGAUGGCGGCGCUUGCAAGCGUUGGUAAUGAUGCGAUUUCCACCAUGACGAUGAGAAGGGUUAGUGCCACCGCAAUGUUCCGGAGUAGGGCCAUUGCUCUUGUUGGCCUCACAGGUGGCUGAGAGGAAUGAUUCAGUAGGAUUUCAGUGAGAUUGAUGUUUUCACCGUGGAGGUCUAUAAAGGUGGUCCUUGCUUUAAAUA
Molecule: long non-coding RNA, 238 nt
Filed under: Hordeum vulgare
Lineage: Eukaryota; Viridiplantae; Streptophyta; Magnoliopsida; Poales; Poaceae
Description: long non-coding RNA (HVUL_LNC008363)
Source: RNAcentral